GUUGUCUAUUAUUCCAAUGUGGGGAAAAUUAUGCUUAUAUAUUAAUGAUCUUGAUAGGAGCACUUGUUUGCAGAAGGCAGAUAACUUAACUGGAAUUUUGUCUAUAUUAUAAUUUCACAUCAAAAUAAAACUAAGACCACCAAUAUUUGAUAAAACAUAAUGAUCUCCGCUUUGAAGUGCAUACUGCACAUGACCGUACUCUGGCAUAUCACUUGAAAGGAAGGACAUUCAUUCCGUCUAAUUAAUUUCACCCAUGAUUUCCUCUGUCCUUUGUUUUUUCGUGGAAAUUGAGGUAAGGAUGUUGUUGUUUUUUAAGCUGGAGCAGUCGGGAACGCUGCAAUAACAGCGACGAGACGACUCUGCCAUUCUAUCUUACUCUGUUCCAUUGGAACCGGAUGUUGUGGUCCGCCGUUUCGCUUACCGGAACCAGGAAGUGUGAAAAAAGGCCUAUAGAGAUUUAUUAUGAUGAAUGACAUGAAAUUAAGGUAGUACACAUGAUUGAUAGUUUGGUGCCCCCUAGUGGUUAAGAAAAUGUAGGCGUUUUUCUUUAAGAUGUCCUUGCGCAGCUACCGUAGUUCAGCAGACGAUGGCUGAUGCUGCUACUGGUAAGCGUGCUCUGAACACAGGAGCGAAAAUAUAGUGAUUAAAGUGUGUAACAUGAUUAUUUUUGGAUAUAUAUAAGAGUGAUUGAGCUGUCAACAAAUGUAUAAUGCUUCUAAUAGAUUUUAACUGUGAAUAUGCAUUAAGAAAUGCCAGCUUUGUGUUUCUCAUAGUAAAAACCGCAUGUUGCUAUCAAAGUAUUAUAUUAUGGAAUGACGCAAGACCACACUUAAAGUGACACUGUUGUUUAUCUUACAUCUUUUGUUUAUUUCAGUUUUGUCUGCAGUAUAUUGUCCUGUUACAUGUGAUGUGAUGUUAUGUGAUGGUUUGUUUCUCAGGUAACAACACUAUGGAGACUUGCCGCAAAUGAGCAGAUUGUGGCAAUUAACAAGUCUGCUCAUUACAGAUGUGAAAUCAUUGUGCGACAUGCAGAGUUAUUGACUCUGCGGCCCCAUGACAGAUUGUGUGGAGAAGUUAUGGAAAGUUACAUUCGGGCUGUCCUUAACAAAUAUGAUCAGGACAAAUUUAUCAGCUCAACCACUACAUCACCGGGGUCAUUUUAUAUGGACAAAAAGAGCAGGUGGCUCGACAAGGCUUGAAGAAUCUGGAGCAGUCGGGAACGCUGCAAUAACAGCGACGAGACGACUCUGCCAUUCUAUCUUACUCUGUUCCAUUGGAACCGGAUGUUGUGGUCCGCCGUUUCGCUUACCGGAACCAGGAAGUGUGAAAAAAGGCCUAUAGAGAUUUAUUAUGAUGAAUGACAUGAAAUUAAGGUAGUACACAUGAUUGAUAGUUUGGUGCCCCCUAGUGGUUAAGAAAAUGUAGGCGUUUUUCUUUAAGAUGUCCUUGCGCAGCUACCGUAGUUCAGCAGACGAUGGCUGAUGCUGCUACUGGUAAGCGUGCUCUGAACACAGGAGCGAAAAUAUAGUGAUUAAAGUGUGUAACAUGAUUAUUUUUGGAUAUAUAUAAGAGUGAUUGAGCUGUCAACAAAUGUAUAAUGCUUCUAAUAGAUUUUAACUGUGAAUAUGCAUUAAGAAAUGCCAGCUUUGUGUUUCUCAUAGUAAAAACCGCAUGUUGCUAUCAAAGUAUUAUAUUAUGGAAUGACGCAAGACCACACUUAAAGUGACACUGUUGUUUAUCUUACAUCUUUUGUUUAUUUCAGUUUUGUCUGCAGUAUAUUGUCCUGUUACAUGUGAUGUGAUGUUAUGUGAUGGUUUGUUUCUCAGGUAACAACACUAUGGAGACUUGCCGCAAAUGAGCAGAUUGUGGCAAUUAACAAGUCUGCUCAUUACAGAUGUGAAAUCAUUGUGCGACAUGCAGAGUUAUUGACUCUGCGGCCCCAUGACAGAUUGUGUGGAGAAGUUAUGGAAAGUUACAUUCGGGCUGUCCUUAACAAAUAUGAUCAGGACAAAUUUAUCAGCUCAACCACUACAUCACCGGGG
Danio aesculapii is the source of this 2042-nucleotide long non-coding RNA. RefSeq lists it as uncharacterized. The transcript is spliced from 6 exons. The record is from RefSeq and is a predicted model, not a curated record. NCBI's taxonomy places the organism in Eukaryota, Metazoa, Chordata, Actinopteri, Cypriniformes, Danionidae.